AGUUUUCUUUUUCUUCUUCUGAAAGUU
RNAcentral lists this small RNA (27 nucleotides) under Arabidopsis thaliana (thale cress). RNAcentral's name for it is "ATSL244260". The record is from RNAcentral. Lineage: Eukaryota; Viridiplantae; Streptophyta; Magnoliopsida; Brassicales; Brassicaceae.